This 468-nucleotide ribosomal RNA is filed under the name uncultured bacterium. RNAcentral describes it as "partial 16S ribosomal RNA". It matches the Rfam family "Bacterial small subunit ribosomal RNA", at positions 28 to 507 of the family's 1533-position model. The record is from RNAcentral.
GACGAACGCUGGCGGCGUGCUUAACACAUGCAAGUCGAACGGAAAGGCCCUGCUUUUGUGGGGUUCUCGAGUGGCGAACGGGUGAGUAACACGUGAGUAACCUGCCCUUGACUUUGGGAUAACUUCAGGAAACUGGGGCUAAUACCGGAUAGGAGCUCCUGCUGCAUGGUGGUGGUUGGAAAGAUUCGGCGGUUGGGGAUGGACUCGCGGCUUAUCAGCUUGUUGGUGGGGUAGUGGCUUACCAAGGCUUUGACGGGUAGCCGGCCUGAGAGGGUGACCGGCCACCUUGGGACUAAGAUACGGCCCAGAAUCCUACGGGAGGCAGUAGUGGGGAAUAUUGCACAAUGGGCGGAAGCCUGAUGCAGCAACGCCGCGUGCGGGAUGACGGCCUUCGGGUUGUAAACCGCUUUCGCCUGUGACGAAGCGUGCGUGACGGUAAUGGGUAAAGAAGCCCCGGCUAACUACGUG